This 346-nucleotide unclassified non-coding RNA is filed under the name soil metagenome. RNAcentral describes it as "partial contains 5.8S ribosomal RNA, internal transcribed spacer 2, and large subunit ribosomal RNA". The stretch from base 1 to 120 matches the Rfam family "5.8S ribosomal RNA", at positions 35 to 154 of the family's 154-position model. The record is from RNAcentral.
GAUGAAGAACGUAGCGAAAUGCGAUAAGUAGUGUGAAUUGCAGAAUUCAGUGAAUCAUCGAAUCUUUGAACGCACAUUGCGCCCUGUGGUAUUCCGAAGGGCAUGCCUGUUCGAGCGUCAUUAUCAACCCUCAAGCCCGGCUUGCCGUUGGGUCCCGUAGGGGUGCGAAUCUCAACGGACCUCAAAGAUAGUGGCAGAGCCCGUACGGACCCUGGAUGCAGCGAGCUUUCUGGCACGCAUCACAGCAAUCCGCCGGCUCGGUCUUAACCGUCAAUUUUUUUUCACUGGUUGACCUCGGAUCAGGUAGGGAUACCCGCUGAACUUAAGCAUAUCAAUAAGCGGAGGA